Long non-coding RNA from Dermacentor andersoni, 1763 nucleotides. RefSeq lists it as uncharacterized. Lineage: Eukaryota; Metazoa; Arthropoda; Arachnida; Ixodida; Ixodidae. The record is from RefSeq and is a predicted model, not a curated record.
GGUAACAGGAACAGAAGAUGUUCUUGCGGUAGAAAUUUGUGCGCAGGAUUGGGAGUGGUGCGACGCGCCUGUAAAAAAGUUUAGUUGAUCCCCACGCCGCCAGAUGCCGAGCUUACCUAAUUUCUGGCUCUUUGAGAUUUGCGUAAGGACUCACUUUUAUGCAACAUUUUUCUUUUUUGUCUUCAGCGCUUUUUCGGAGAACGAAUACUCAGUGCCAGCUGGGAGAGCUUUCAAAGUCGACCGCUUUCGAAACGCUUUUUUUUACACGUUAGCUGCACGUCUUGAAGGCAGCGUUACGUAGCCCAUUGAAUUAGUCGUGGUGGUGUAAGAGGACAAAGAAUUACGGAUGAUCCUUAAGCCAGAAAUAAAUAGAGGGUGAUUGAAAGUCAAGGGGUUGUAUGUACUACUGGCCAUUCUCUGCGGCAAAGAGGCCGAUGGCUGUUCUACCUAGUACCGAACGAAGGUCAGCUCUUUGGAACUGGGUACGCCAAAAGGAAGUGCUUGGAAAUACGGCUGAUAUGUAGAUGCGAUGAAGCACCCAGAGUUCGCCACUUCACCGAUCGCCAUGACCACACUGGUCGUUAUGGUGGUGGCGCUAGUGGCCUCGCUGGGGAUAGUGGAAGCUGCAAAGAACGAGCAAGGCAGGUGCAAUGAGCACUUCUGCCGCACUCUGUGCGUCGCCUGGCGCCACCUGACGGGAGUGUGUCUCGAGUUCUGGCCGUACAGGAACGAGAAGAGGUGCCACUGCUCGGACGUUUGGUUCCGUCCACCAAAACGAAGGGGCGCCCCUGGAAGGUACAACAAAAUAUGGAAGUAUUGAGUCUGUUUAGAGGCAGGCACAGUACGUCCAUGUAGAAGAGUUAACUUUAGCGCAGAAGGCACACUCGGGUUAGUUGGUCACAUGUUGGGACAUUUGAAGAAUACAAGCUGACACGUAGUUUCAAGGUUGUAUAAACGCUAUCACGCGCUCUUCACGCGUAAAAGGGUGACAUUAGUAAGUACGAAAGUUGAGAAACAGAUACUUUUAUUUGAUACUAGAUUGUCGUCUUCGCGUGCUAUAGAGCUGGCAUCAUCGACAUUAUUAUGGCGUCGUGACAGAUGGCUAAAUUUGCUGGCAUACUGUGUCAAUUCGUAACAUGGUUUUGAUACAGUAUAGUCAUAUGAAUAUUUAGGAAUACCCAUCUCUUUUGAGUUAGCGUGACAGUUACAUGCACAUUCAGCCAUCGCAAAAACUACCUGCAGUCUUGGUUACAUUCGAAGAAAUGUUUACUUUGCUCCUGUAGCUCUAAAAAAAAUUUAAUAAUUUUAAUUUGGCUUCCUUUCUUGCUUUAUACUACAUUUUAUUGUUAUUGAGUAACAUUUGCAUAAUCCGUGUUUAUAUUAUCAUUGUUAUUGUUGCAUUGCACUUGUAAUAGUAUCCUGUUUAUUUCUUCCAGUCUUUCACUGCGAUUUUUAACAGAAAGUUUUAUACCGUAUUUAUGUAUAUUUGUGUUGUAUUGCUAACGUACCCGCCCUCCAUCCCCCUCUCUCUCUGUAAUGUUGAAAGGCUCUGAGGUUAAAAUAAAUGAAAUAAAACGGAAUACGACUUGGUAUAAUCAUAUUGCUCACACACAAAAAAAGAUCAAACAAGAGUGCUGUGUGCAUUAUUUCUGGCUCUAUAUACGCCCACUUGUAGCAGCCGCAGCGAUUGCCGAAUCGAACGAGCAAGCGUAUCAUGACGUAAGCAUCCAUCCAUCCAUAGAGUUUACUACAAUCACUAGAGA